GGCUGGGUGGUGUAGUUGGUUAUCACAUCUGUCUAACAGCUGGAGUUAAUAUCUCCACUGUUGCGCACAGAAGGUCCCGAGUUCAAGUCUCGGCCGAGUCA
This 101-nucleotide transfer RNA is filed under the name Delitschia confertaspora ATCC 74209. Its description in RNAcentral is "tRNA-Val". The record is from RNAcentral. Lineage: Eukaryota; Fungi; Ascomycota; Dothideomycetes; Pleosporales; Delitschiaceae.